AUUAGUUAAGUUCUUGAAAAUUAAAGAUUUUGGCGGUAUUUUAGUCUUUUCAGAGGAAUCUGUCCUAUAAUUGAUAAUCCACGAUUAAUUAAACUUAUUUUUAGUUUAUAUAUCAUCGUAAUUGAAUAUUUUAAAAGAAAAUUAAUAUUCAGGAAAUUAUAUAAAAUAAUAAAUCAGAUCAAGGUGUAGCUUAUAAAUAAGAAGAGAUGGAUUACAUUUUUUGUAAAAUUCGAUAUAUUAUUGAAAAUAAUAUUGAAAUUGGAUUUGAAAGUAAUUAAUUAUAUAUAUUUUUAAUGAUUAAGCUCUAAAAUAUG
Molecule: ribosomal RNA, 314 nt
Filed under: Mycetaea aff. ciliata
Lineage: Eukaryota; Metazoa; Arthropoda; Insecta; Coleoptera; Endomychidae
Description: partial 12S small subunit ribosomal RNA
Source: RNAcentral